Echinops telfairi (small Madagascar hedgehog) is the source of this 1567-nucleotide long non-coding RNA. RefSeq lists it as uncharacterized. The record is from RefSeq and is a predicted model, not a curated record. NCBI's taxonomy places the organism in Eukaryota, Metazoa, Chordata, Mammalia, Afrosoricida, Tenrecidae. The transcript has 3 exons.
CAGACUGCAUGGAUCGGAGUGCUAGCCCUGCUGCUCUCCAGCUGAGGACUAGCUACUGAACCUCUCUGUGCCUCAGUCUCCUCGCCUGUCAAAAGGGGUCCACAGGGACUCCCUCCUGGGGUCGUGGGGAAGACGAGCUGUGAGCAGGUGCGGACUGUGACUCGAACAGUGGGUGUGGGGUGAAGACUCCCUGGUGUCCCUAAGUGGUGCAAAGAGUGUGUGCACUGCCCCCGCCUGGCCCCUGCCUCACCAGCUGCUCACCAAGCACUUGAGGGUGGGCGUCCACCCUGAGUGGCCGCAGAGGAAAGGCCUGGUGAUCUACUGAAAAGUCAGCACUGAAAGCCCUCCAGAGCACAGUGCUUGUUGGUGAGCCUUAGUGAGAGGAAGUCUGAGGACUUAGGGGGUACAGAAGGAUGUGCACUUGACCUUAAUCCCCACCCUGUGAGGGGUGACCCUGUGAUACCUACUCCUCUGAUGGGGUCUCCACUGAGGGGCUGAGUGGUCCGGGGAUGCGGGCGCUCCCUGGGCACGGACCAUCUCAGAGUUCCUCCCCACCGCUCCUCCGAGGUUCUGCAGUGGCCCUCUGCCCUCUGAGUGCUCCCCAACCCCCUCCAAGCACCGCUUGUUCUUUUCCUCCCGGGGCUGAGAGAAUGGCAGGCUGCCCAGCUGGGCGGGCACAGGGCCCAGCUCCUUGGUUGGUGUGUGUGUGUGUGUGUGUGUGUGUAGGGGAGGGUGCAGGUGAGGAUGGACAGUUCGGAUCACAGAGCUGCGAGCUCUACGGAGAUGGCCGGCCCGUGAGCCACUCCCCACACCCCGAGUCCUGAGGACGUUUGGCUCAGAACCACGCCCAGCUUGCAACGCCUGACCCACCCUAAGGGAACCUUCCUCCACCGACCCAAGGAGCCUGGGAGAAAGCAGAAGGCUCAGGUACUCACCAUGGCCAGCACCCUGGAAAUGCUCUGGAAUAAAUACACCUGGGCCUUAGAAAACGGAGACCCCAGAACGGACUCCUGGUUUCUGGUGUCCUCGCCACUCCCUGUCGCACUCCUGGUUGUCUUCUAUCUCCUGAUGGUGGUGGCCGGCCCUCGAUUUAUGGCCCGACGGGAGCCCCUGAGGCUGGCAGGACCCCUCACUGCCUACAACCUGGGCCUGGUGGGUCUCUCAGGGUACAUCUUCUAUGAGGUAAGGAGGGUGAGAGAAGCCUGAAGUGUUGAAGUGGGGCGUCCAAGAACUAAGAAGUCCACGUGAGAUUACUCAACAAGCACCAGGAGCUCAGGCUGACUUUGCGCAACGGGUUCCCCCCUCCGGUCGUUGAUGUUAGAGGCCGUCCGGUUGGGUCUCACCCCUGGGAGGCCCGUCCACACCAGAAUGACGCCCUGCCCGGCCCCACUCCUUCCUCACAGUGGCUGUUUGCACCCUUGUGUCAGUCACAGUGCCGAGCCACCUCCUGGAUGGUCGUGCUCUUUCCCAUGAGCCCUCUCCUCUGCCAAGCAGGAUGCCCUUCCCUUGCUAGAGACCAUGCACGAAGAUGCUGAGUGCACAAAGGGGCUCAUGCCAACCAUACCUG